RNAcentral lists this ribosomal RNA (494 nucleotides) under uncultured bacterium. RNAcentral describes it as "bacterial SSU rRNA". It matches the Rfam family "Bacterial small subunit ribosomal RNA", at positions 1 to 507 of the family's 1533-position model. The record is from RNAcentral.
GAUAGAGUUUGAUCAUGGCUCAGGAUGAACGCUGGCGGCGUGCCUAAUACAUGCAAGUCGAACGAGGUGCUUUUUGUAGCAAUACGAGGAGUAUCCUAGUGGCGAACGGGUGAGUAACGCGUGGGUGACCUACCCCAAAGUGUGGAAUAACAGUCCGAAAGGAUUGCUAAUACCGCAUGUGGUCAUUGGGUUUAGAAACCGAUGACUAAAGGAGCAAUCCGCUUUGGGAGGGACCUGCGUCCCAUCAGCUAGUUGGCGAGGUAACGGCUCACCAAGGCGACGACGGGUAGGGGACCUGAGAGGGUGGCCCCCCACAAUGGAACUGAAACACGGUCCAUACACCUACGGGUGGCAGCAGUAGGGAAUAUUGCACAAUGGGCGAAAGCCUGAUGCAGCAACGCCGCGUGCGCGAUGAAGGUCUUCGGAUCGUAAAGCGCUUUUCUGGGAGAUGAGAAAGGACAGUAUCCCAGGAAUAAGUCUCGGCUAACUACGUG